RNAcentral lists this ribosomal RNA (460 nucleotides) under uncultured bacterium. RNAcentral's name for it is "partial 16S ribosomal RNA". It matches the Rfam family "Bacterial small subunit ribosomal RNA", at positions 338 to 795 of the family's 1533-position model. The record is from RNAcentral.
CCUACGGGAGGCAGCAGUGAGGAAUAUUGGUCAAUGGGCGCGAGCCUGAACCAGCCAAGUAGCGUGAAGGAUGACUGCCCUACGGGUUGUAAACUUCUUUUAUAAAGGAAUAAAGUGAGGCACGUGUGCCUGUUUGAAUGUACUUGAUGAAUAAGGAUCGGCUAACUCCGUGCCAGCAGCCGCGGUAAUACGGAGGAUCCGAGCGUUAUCCGGAUUUAUUGGGUUUAAAGGGAGCGUAGAUGGGUUGUUAAGUCCGUUGUGAAAGUUUGCGGCUCAACCGUAAAAUUGCAAUUGAUACUGGCAGUCUUGAGUACACUUGAGGUAGGCGGAAUUCGUGUUGUAGCGGUGAAAUGCUUAGAUAUCACGCAGAACUCCGAUUGCGAAGGCAGCUUACUAACCUGCCACUGACAUUGAUGCUCGAAAGUGUGGGUAUCAAACAGGAUUAGAUACCCCUGUAGUC